Molecule: long non-coding RNA, 124 nt
Organism: Lemur catta (Ring-tailed lemur)
Lineage: Eukaryota; Metazoa; Chordata; Mammalia; Primates; Lemuridae
Exons: 3
Source: RefSeq, a predicted model, not a curated record
UGUGAAUUCACUUAUAUAAGGCACUGUGAUAGAUGCUGGGAUUCAGCAGUGUCACCACCCUCCUGGAGAAGCAGCACAAGCUCAACUGUAGAAAGAGAUAAGGGUCUAACUACGUUGCCCAGGC